RNAcentral lists this ribosomal RNA (230 nucleotides) under uncultured bacterium. RNAcentral's name for it is "partial 16S ribosomal RNA". It matches the Rfam family "Bacterial small subunit ribosomal RNA", at positions 118 to 347 of the family's 1533-position model. The record is from RNAcentral.
UGAGCAAUCUGCCCUUCUCAUCGGAAUAAGCGUUGGAAACGACGUCUAAUGCCGAAUACGACCUCCUUUCGCAUGAUCGGAGGUGGAAAGCUCCGGCGGAGAAGGAUGAGCUCGCGGCCUAUCAGCUAGUUGGUGUGGGUAAUGGCCCACCAAGGCGACGACGGGUAGCCGGCCUGAGAGGGUGACCAGCCACAUUGGGACUGAGACACGGCCCAGACCUCCGUAGGGAG